GGUCCAUAGAGUCGGCCAGAGGAUCCAUAAAGGGAACUACUCGUUUCGGUAUGCUUCUACAACUGCUCCACGAAUAAACUCUAUUUGCGUAUAACAAUCUUCAGACGAAAUUCUUCUAUCCUGACGAUAGAAGAGGCUUUCCUCCAUUUAUUUGCUAUAACGAUGAGAAAAGAAUACAUCCAAAUUUUUGAGUUCACAUUGAAACAUUGUGAUUUUUGUAGUUAUAGUUAGGCCUGAUGCUCGAGCCGCUUGUAUAUGUGUUUUUGUAAAUAUUGAUCUUUCUUGUGGAGUUAUCAUAUCAUAUGCCUAUUCUGCUGUGUAACUACAUAUAGGGCGUUUGGUUUGGUGGAUGAGACAAAUAAGAUUGAUAUGAUCGAAGGAUGAUUUUAUCCAUUAGGGGCCUAAUCAGCCUAAUCAUAUAAAUUAAACAUUUGAUUAAAUUCGAUUAUUUUAUCAAUCAUGCUCUACCACUCAAACCAAGCUUCUUGCAAUCGGCUUAAAUUCAAGUUUACAUGUAGUCUACAAUGUGUGUGGGUGUUGUUUCAAUAAUGAAACUUAGUUUGGAAAGUGAUUAGGAUUUCUGCCUACAAUCAUGCUCACAAUAACAAAACACAUCUGUAGCUCCGGGAAAACGGUCGCAACGAGAAGAUGGGUGCACCCCUGAGUAGUAGUCGUUGCAGAGUUGGACGCAUCGAAAUUCAGAUAGUGUCUUACCACAUACGCCCAAGAUGCUCACACACCGGUAUAUUGGAGGAGGACGCCCAUCAACCUUUACUUCUUGCAUUUUUG
RNAcentral lists this long non-coding RNA (789 nucleotides) under Salvia miltiorrhiza (redroot sage). Its description in RNAcentral is "long non-coding RNA (SMIL_LNC004744)". The record is from RNAcentral. Lineage: Eukaryota; Viridiplantae; Streptophyta; Magnoliopsida; Lamiales; Lamiaceae.